Bombus terrestris (buff-tailed bumblebee) is the source of this 1636-nucleotide long non-coding RNA. RefSeq lists it as uncharacterized. The record is from RefSeq and is a predicted model, not a curated record. Lineage: Eukaryota; Metazoa; Arthropoda; Insecta; Hymenoptera; Apidae. The transcript has 2 exons.
AUAACUGUUAAAUUCUACCAAAUGUCCAAAUUGGACAAAUUGUGAAUUCAAAUAAUAAAUAAAAAAAAAUGUAUAUCUGGAACAUUUAUGCAGUUGUAGGCAAUUUAAAGAGUUACACAUAGCGUACUAUUCGAUUUUUCCUUACAAUUUAACAUAUACACACACGCAUUAAAAUCUCCUCAAUUUUCCGAAUGCUAGUAAAAUUUUUGUUUAUAAUAAAUAUGUUUAUAACAUUCUUCUUUCCACGUGUUUGCCUUGUAUUAGCAGCUUCUUUUUACGUAAAUGUCAUCCAUAUAAAAAACGUCUUGCGUAAAUCGAUAGAUGAGUUUAUUAUCUUUUUUGUCAAUUAAUAAGCGUGCAGGAUGUUAAUAAAGCGACUGAAGGGUUUAGAAGCUCAAUGUUCACAGAGUGAAGUAAAAAAUGCUUAACACGUUGAAUGCCACGGGGUCACCGGUGACAACUUGUCGGUAGUGUGACGUCGAUUCGAAAUUAUUUCACGUUCCGCGUGGGAGGUGAGAGAUUUGUAUUUCGAUUAGUACCAAAUUUAUUAAGAACUGACAGAGUACAAAAUGUUACAACAGAACAGAAUAGAAUAUUGCAGAGAGACACACUGGCUGAUUUCGGGAGCAGUAUAUAUAUGUAAACUCCCUAGAGUUCAUGUGGGAUAGGGAUUCUUUUUGUUUUACGGGUAGCACGACAGGCUUUGUUUCACGGACAGAGCGAUCUUCUUUUGUUUUACGGACAACCAUUUUUGAGAGGCACGCAUUUUCCCAAACGAACGGACAGAGAGUUACAUUAGAGACAGACAAGGUUACAGAAUAGUUAUUUAAGAUUUUAAAGACUGAAGAAGAAAGAUUGGUAGCUCAGGACGUUGAAAAUCGAUUCUCGAUUUUCAGACUACAGAAUCGAUCCCCGAAUUAUCCCAAGAUUUACGAUCUUACAUAUAUACCCUUUUAUUUGUUGGAGUAGGAGGAAGACCUUGGUCGUGUGGAUGUGUCAUAUGGUUGGAUGUUACUAUGGAUUUUGGUUGUACGGAUGUAUCAUGCCUAGGGGACUGGACGUUACCCUGGCGGUGACUUAUGAUAAGGCGGUUGGGACUGCCUAUCUUAUCACAUAGUCAGGCAAAUUUACCCUGUGACAGUAGCGCCGUGGGGGCCACUGGUAACCGACUCGCCAAUAUUAGUAGAAAUACAUAAUUUGAACAAAUGUCAAUAAUUAUAAAUUUUCCAUUAUUACCAUCGUUACUACAAUGGUGUGACGAAAUUAAUGCAAUAUAAAACAUAUAAAAAUAGUUUUAUUUAUACAUGAAAUAUAGAUCUAUUAUGUGCGCAUAUUGUUAUUAUCAUAUUAGAUAAACUGCUCGAGGAACUUUCCUCUGCCUGACAGUACUCGACAUCGUUUGGGGGGAUUUGGUAAAAAUGUAUCGUCAGUGGAAUUGCUUGACGCGUAAUCUCCAUUUGAAAUUAUAUUAACUUUAAGGGCUAACUAAAAAAUAGAAAACAUGAAGUGCAAAAAUUUGUGUAGUACAUAAAAGUAUAAUAAACGCUCUUGCCUGAUUGUUAGAUGCUCUCGACAAGAAUAAACACGUGGAACAAUUAUUUAGUAACAUAAAGAAACAGUAUAAGAUAAUUGAUAA